UUUAGGAGUUGUUCUUCUCUGUGGACUCUGUGGCUUCUGUGCUGCGAGGGAAGUAGACGGUGGUCUUGUGCUCUUCGUAGCGGUCGAUGUGCUUUAGAUGGACCACCAUGUGCAGAGCGUACGCCAACACCAGCAGCAGGAUCAGAGAUGUGAUCAAACCCAUGAGGAUCGCUGGAGUAAAGAAGGUCGCGCAGUCGCUGGCCGAUGCAAACUUACUGGAAUGAAGAAAGACCCUUUGGUGUCCACCGUUGCGGCCGGGCCGAAGGUUCGGUCCGUCAGGUCCACUAAACUGUGGUUCUUGUAUCUGAUGGCCAGUUUUCGGGCUCUAAAGAGGAUGCAGGUUUUCCCGUUGUGCACGACGCUCAGAGGAGAAUAAAGCAGCGCUCCUGGAGUCUGCAGUAACUUACGGCUCAGGUGCCAUCCGUACGGCUAAAUACAAACAUAUUGUAGGCUAGUAAAAUUCAUUCAAAUGAUACUAAUUAAACAGUUCACAUAUUAAACCACUGCUAAAGAAAACAAGUGUUUGUGUUAAAUACAGAACCUGUGACAGUUUUCCAUUCAGAAAGUGAAUGAGAGAUCGUCUGAGAUCAACUUUAAACGCUGAACCUUCAUCACCAACACCAUCUGGACAAGAACACAACCAAUGAGAGAGUCUGUCCAAAUAAUCAGACAAUUCAAUUAAAUAUGCAAGAUU
Non-coding RNA from Paramisgurnus dabryanus, 694 nucleotides. NCBI's taxonomy places the organism in Eukaryota, Metazoa, Chordata, Actinopteri, Cypriniformes, Cobitidae. The record is from RefSeq and is a predicted model, not a curated record.